Non-coding RNA from Drosophila melanogaster (fruit fly), 827 nucleotides. Lineage: Eukaryota; Metazoa; Arthropoda; Insecta; Diptera; Drosophilidae. The record is from Ensembl.
ACGGAACAAAGUAGAGCGGGACUACAGGAGAACUGAGAGCGUCGGCGUGCCGAUUUAAGGAAAGCAACGGUACCAAGCUGGACUUUGGACCUGGAUAACGGUAAAACCGUGCAGUUUGGUUCUGGAGACUGGAAAUAUCGAGGAAUAGCGGGUUAGGGAGGCAUACAUAAGCCGGCCGAGCGCUGAAAAGUCAAUGUUCGACGCAACAAGGGAGCUGUAGCACUAAGAGUUAAUAAGGAACAAGAUCGCUAGGUCGAGACGUUCGGGGCACGAAAAGUCUCCGAAUAGGGCUAAGUUGCGUCGCCUUGCUACACUACGAAUUGAGACCAGACCCUGGCUUUAGCCCGGCGAGUCCGCUAUCGUGUGAGCAGGAGUGCAAAAUCCUAGCAAGGACCCACGUGUGUGGUGGGAUUGUGGUGAAGGCCGUGUCGACUGUUUUAAUGUUCUCGUAACGUAGACCAAGCGAUCGCCUGAGCAGGCGUGGUGCCGGCACGACCAGUCAGAGCAGACGUCUGGUUAACGCGUUGUCAUCUCGCCCGGCGAUAGCCUGGAAGAGGCAACCAUUGACUACCGUGAGUCCGCGGACGACAAUAAUUCCCAGCCCAACGAGUAUAGCACCCAGCAGCGCAGCCCACAUCGAUCAGGACAACACGAGCCGCAGGACAGCAGAUACAACGCUGUCGAGCAGGCCCGUCCAUUUGACUCGGUACAGGGACUGUGGCGUGAGCCGGACGAUUGCACGGAGCAUCUGCAGGAGCGGAACAGGCGUCUGGCGGGACCGGCCGCGACAGAAGGUUGCGACGAGCAAGGGCAGCCCAGCACCUGUU